UACAGAGGGUGCGAGCGUUGUCCGGAAUCACUGGGCGUAAAGGGCGCGUAGGUGGCGGCCCAAGUCCAUGGUGAAAGCUCGAUGCUCAACAUCGAGUCGGCCACGGAUACUGGGUUGCUCGAGCACUGUAGGGGCAGAUGGAAUUCCGGGUGUAGCGGUGGAAUGCGCAGAGAUCCGGAAGAACACCGGUGGCGAAGGCGGUCUGCUGGGCAGUUGCUGACACUGAGGCGCGACAGCGUGGGGAGCAAACAGG
Molecule: ribosomal RNA, 253 nt
Filed under: uncultured bacterium
Lineage: Bacteria
Description: partial 16S ribosomal RNA
Rfam family: Bacterial small subunit ribosomal RNA
Source: RNAcentral